CCUACGGGAGGCAGCAGUGAGGAAUAUUGGUCAAUGGCCGGAAGGCUGAACCAGCCAAGUAGCGUGCAGGAUGACGGCCCUACGGGUUGUAAACUGCUUUUAUACGGGAAUAACGCGCCUUACGUGUAGGGCUUUGCAUGUACCGUAUGAAUAAGGACCGGCUAAUUCCGUGCCAGCAGCCGCGGUAAUACGGAAGGUCCGGGCGUUAUCCGGAUUUAUUGGGUUUAAAGGGAGCGUAGGCCGCAUGUCAAGCGUGCUGUGAAAUGUCCGGGCUCAACCCGGGCCUUGCAGCGCGAACUGGCGUGCUUGAGUCCGCGGAAAGCAGGCGGAAUUCGUCGUGUAGCGGUGAAAUGCUUAGAUAUGACGAAGAACCCCGAUUGCGAAGGCAGCUUGCUGCAGCGGAACUGACGCUGAUGCUCGAAAGCGCGGGUAUCGAACAGGAUUAGAUACCCCGGUAGUC
RNAcentral lists this ribosomal RNA (460 nucleotides) under uncultured bacterium. RNAcentral's name for it is "partial 16S ribosomal RNA". It matches the Rfam family "Bacterial small subunit ribosomal RNA", at positions 338 to 795 of the family's 1533-position model. The record is from RNAcentral.